Molecule: ribosomal RNA, 619 nt
Filed under: alpha proteobacterium SK9H10
Lineage: Bacteria; Pseudomonadati; Pseudomonadota; Alphaproteobacteria
Description: bacterial SSU rRNA
Rfam family: Bacterial small subunit ribosomal RNA
Source: RNAcentral
CGAACGCUGGCGGCAGGCCUAACACAUGCAAGUCGAACGCAUGCCUUCGGGCAUGAGUGGCGCACGGGUGAGUAACGCGUGGGAACCGACCCUGGGGUUGGGGAUAACCGCUGGAAACGGCGGCUAAUACCCAAUACGCCUUGAGGGGGAAAGAUUUAUCACCCUGGGACGGGCCCGCGUUGGAUUAGGUAGUUGGUGGGGUAACGGCCUACCAAGCCUACGAUCCAUAGCUGGUUUGAGAGGAUGAUCAGCCACACUGGGACUGAGACACGGCCCAGACUCCUACGGGAGGCAGCAGUGGGGAAUAUUGGACAAUGGGGGCAACCCUGAUCCAGCCAUGCCGCGUGAGUGAAGAAGGCCUUAGGGUUGUAAAGCUCUUUCAGUGGUGGAGAUGAUGACGGUAGCCACAGAAGAAGCCCCGGCUAACUCCAUGCCAGCAGCCGCGGUAAUACGGAGGGGGCAAGCGUUGUUCGGAAUUACUGGGCAUAAAGGGCGCGUAGGCGGAUAUUCAAGUCAGAGGUGAAAGCCCUGGGCUCAACCUGGGAAUGGCCUUUGAAACUGGAUGUCUGGAGUUCGGGAGAGGUGAGCGGAAUACCCAGUGUAGAGGUGAAAUUCGUAG